ACAAAUACCAUAGCUAGUGUGAAAAAAUGCCUGAUUGUUAGUGUAAAAAAGGUUUCUGUGCAAUACUAUUCAGUUAACUGUCAUAAUCUGAUUGCAACAAAAAAGAUAAGCUGGAUAAAGCAAAUGGUUUCGACAUUGGGAUCUUCAAGGAAAAAGUAUCGCUUUCUCAAGAAGUCGGCAACGCACCGGUGACCCCUAUCGGCUGGUCUCCAUGGGCUUGUAUUUGCUUACCAUCAGCUAAGCAGUUAAACUCGGCACACUUUUGAUUCCGAGAAAUCAAAUCGAUUGGAAAUGACAGUUUUAUACAUGGGAACCUAAGCACGUGGCAACUCGAUUUAAAUCGGAUUCAGAAUAAUCGAUGGCGAUGACUGCUACUCGAUUAUAAUUAAUUCAGUUGAAGAAUAAGGCAGUCCGUAAGUAAAAUUAUAAAUAUCCUGUUAUAGAAAAGUUAAAACUUUUUUUUAAGCAAAAGUAUACAGCACUUUACAGCAUUUGACAGAACAAAACCGAACAUAAUUCAGCUUAAAGUAUGAUUAACUUUUUUAUAACAAUAAUAAUGCGUUUAUUUUGGACAACAAAA
Long non-coding RNA from Plodia interpunctella (Indianmeal moth), 580 nucleotides. RefSeq lists it as uncharacterized. The transcript is spliced from 3 exons. Lineage: Eukaryota; Metazoa; Arthropoda; Insecta; Lepidoptera; Pyralidae. The record is from RefSeq and is a predicted model, not a curated record.